GCUGGAAGGCGCCUGCGCGACUCGGAGACUGGCGCGGCCGGUUAGGCCUGGUAACGUGGGAGGAGCCCCGAGGCGCACCGUGGCUGGGGGUUUCGACUCCCCGGAGCUGAUAUCCAGGGCGGCUUUGAAGGAUAGGGCUGGGCCCAGAAUGAUUGACACGUGACCCCGCGCGCCAUUCCUAUUGGUUGCUUCGCAGAGGCUGCUUCCGCCCAUAAGAAAGAUGGCGGCUUCGAGAUUCGUACCGGAGGCCGGGUGUUUUUUUCCCCACCGUUCCCGGUUGUCUUAUUCGCCCCUUCCCGGAAGAAAGAUGGCGGCGGCCUGAGCCGAGUUCUGCGUAAGACUUGGCGGGCGCCCAGACCCGGCGCAUCAGAAGCCGGGGUGAGUGAGGGGUCCCUGCAGUCGCCGUGCGAGGGGCGGGCUUGGGAGGCCAUUCGGGUAGCGUUCGAAUCGCGCCAGGUCUGAGCCGGCUCGACCCCGCGGGCCGCCCUCUUCCUCGGCUGCUGCUUCCGGAACUCACUGCCGCGGGGGAUCUGAGGCUCGGGGCUCUGUUACCGGCUGGCGUUGUGACCUCAACUUGUGGUCCAGCAGCAUCUCUGCCUCGGUUUCCCCUUUGGUAAAACGUGCGCCAUGAGUUCUAGUAGUGUGAGCUGGAAAUGGAAGGCCUGGGUAAAACCUUCCUGCCCAGCCCGGGUUGGUGGGCGUUCUUCUCCGGUACUGUUCGGCGUAGUUCUUAAACCGACAUUGCUUUUACUUACUGUUGUUGUUGUUGACGUUUUUCGAGACGAGCGAGCUUUCUCCGUGUAGCUCGGGCUGUGCUGGAGCUCACUCUGUAGACCAGAGUGGCUGCACUGGAACUCAGAGAUCGCCUGCCUUUGCCUCCUUAGUGCUAGAAUUAAAGGCUUUUUCUUUUCUUUUACUUAACUUUUUUUUUUUUCUUCCUGCCAGGCUUUAUUUCUUUACAUUCCUAUUUUUGUGUUGCUGGAGGAGAUCGAAUCCAGCACCGUAAAUGCUGGGCAAAGGCUCUACUACUGGGCUAAAUCAUCAGUCCACUACCAGCUUUUGGGCUGUUUUACACUGUUGGUUUUUAGACUUUGGUGGUCUUUUUUUUUUUCCCUUUCCUCUUUUGUUGUUGUUAGCGAUAGGUUCCAGACAGGGUUUCAUGUAGCCUGCCUGAACUUACUAUGUAGCUGAGGCUGGCCUUGAACUAUUGAGUCUACUGCCUGUAACUCGAAGCAAGCCUAGUCAGUCUGCUUGGCAAGUUCCUGGCCAACCAAGGCUUCAUUGUGAGACCCUGUCUCAAAACAAAACAAAAAAGCAAAAGAAACAAAAUAUAUAGUUUGAUUUCAUCAGAAUUAUAAUGUAAGGAUGGCAAAGAAGUACAGAUAUUCCCCCAGCCACCCUGUGUAUUCCUGAAACCUAGGUGGAACUAAGUCCUGAGUAGACUGUUAUAGGUACAGCAAAUUUUAAUUUAGAAAUUAGGCCCAGGUAGAGAUUAACAAAUGAUCAUAAAACAGUUGUGACUUUGACAAAUAGAAUGCCAUCUGACUUCGAUUGAUGGCAAAUCAAGGGGUAUCAUUGUCACCUCCACUACAGGUGUCACUAGCAUUCCUUUUUACUACUGGUUGGAAACUGAUAUGUGUAGAAGCUAUGACAAGAUGAAACUCCUGAGUUUCAUGCCUGUUUUCUUCUCCUUGUAUUCUUACACCCGUCUCCUCAUCAUUCCGGGGCAAAUCCUUGAGCAUUUCCCAGAAUUCUCUCUACCCCUGCCAGAUGUCCCACCUCCUAUUCUCUGCCUUAGCUCAUUAACCAUAGGCUUUUUUAUUGACAGGUGAUGCUUAUAAUAGAUUCUCUACAGCAAAGGUCAGAUGCCUUAACCAAGGUCACAGAGCUCUGUGGUCAAGCUGGGGUCUGGAGAAUGAGUGACCGCAGCCGUCCAAUACACACUGGAAUAGUGAUUAGGGAGGAAUGGAGUCAGGUUUACGUUGUUGUGUUGUUGGUGUGUGGGGUUAGGGUACAGGAAGUGCUGCAACUUUAGCCUGGCCAAGUACAUUUCUCCAGUUUCUUUUUUAAAAAGUAAAAACAUCAUUUGUUGUUUUCCUUUUUCACUUUUUCUUCUUCAUUCCCCCCCCCCCCCCCCCCCCGGUAGUGCUGGGAUCAGCCCUAGGACUUGAGCACACCAGACAAGUGUUUCACCCCUGCCUGAGCUAUAUAUAUAUAAUAUAUAUAUAUAUAUAUCCCUAGCCCCUUGUGUGUGGAUCUUGUUUGGAGAUAGGAUCUUACUGUUUAUCCAUGGCUGGCUUGGAGCUCACAGUGUGGACCAGACUGGCCUUGAACUCAGAGAUCCACCCAUGUCCACCUCCUGUGUGCUGGGAUUAAAGUUGAAUGUCACCAUAUCCUGCUGGAAUAUAUGGUUGGUCCUGAUUAUUAAAUCAUGUUAUGAAAUAAAUAUAUUUAGUGAAGCAUUUGCUUCCACUU
RNAcentral lists this long non-coding RNA (2475 nucleotides) under Mus musculus (house mouse). RNAcentral's name for it is "long non-coding RNA chr4:155992956-155995431". The record is from RNAcentral. Lineage: Eukaryota; Metazoa; Chordata; Mammalia; Rodentia; Muridae.